GUCGAACGAGGUGCUUUUGUAGCAAUACGAGAGUAUCCUAGUGGCGAACGGGUGAGUAACGCGUUGGUGACCUACCCCAAAGUGUGGGAUAACAGUCCGAAAGGAUUGCUAAUACCGCAUGUGGUCAUUGGAUUUAGAAACUGAUGACUAAAGGAGCAAUUCGCUUUGGGAGGGACCUGCGUCCCAUCAGCUAGUUGGUGAGGUAACGGCUCACCAAGGCUACGACGGGUAGGGGACCUGAGAGGGUGACCCCCCACAAUGGAACUGAAACACGGUCCAUACACCUACGGGUGGCAGCAGUAGGGAAUAUUGCACAAUGGGCGAAAGCCUGAUGCAGCAACGCCGCGUGUGCGAUGAAGGCCUUCGGGUCGUAAAGCACUUUUCUGAGAGAUGAGAAAGGACAGUAUCUCAGGAAUAAGUCUCGGCUAACUACGUGCCAGCAGCCGCGGUAAAACGUAGGAGGCAAGCGUUAUCCGGAUUCACUGGGCGUAAAGCGCGUGCAGGUGGUUCGGUAAGUUGGGCGUGAAAUCUCCCGGCUCAACUGGGAGAGGUCGUCCAAUACUACCGAACUUGAGAGCAGAAGAGGAAGAUGGAAUUCCCGGUGUAGUGGUGAAAUGCGUAGAUAUCGGGAGGAACACCAGUGGCGAAGGCGAUCUUCUGGUCUGUUUCUGACACUCAGACGCGACAGCUAGGGUAGUAAACGGGAUUAGAGACCCCGGUAAUCCUAGCCGUAAACGAUGUGAACUUGGCGUUGGUGG
Molecule: ribosomal RNA, 758 nt
Filed under: uncultured microorganism
Description: bacterial SSU rRNA
Rfam family: Bacterial small subunit ribosomal RNA
Source: RNAcentral